Pararge aegeria (speckled wood butterfly) is the source of this 1413-nucleotide long non-coding RNA. RefSeq lists it as uncharacterized. Lineage: Eukaryota; Metazoa; Arthropoda; Insecta; Lepidoptera; Nymphalidae. The record is from RefSeq and is a predicted model, not a curated record. The transcript has 2 exons.
CUUUUGAAAUAUUUAUGAACUAUUUUUUUCACCAUGUAUAUAUUUUAAAUAUUGGUCUUGGCCAGUCAUGUCAUGAUCAAAUUUAUUUGGCAAUAAUGAGGCUAACCAUAUGCUUAGGUGACCUAGUAAUGGCAAGGCAAUUUAAUAUACUCUGGCGGUAAUCUUUUGAAAAUAUUUAUUAGCUUUUUUUUCACUAUGUAUUUAUUUUAAAUAUUGGUCUUGGCCAGUCAUGUCAUGAUCAAAUUUAUUUGGCAGUAAUGAGGCUAACCAUAUGGUCAGGUGACUUAUUAAUGUCAAGGCAAUUUAAUAUAUUCUAGCGGUAAUCUUUUGAAAAUAUUUAUUAGCUUUUUUUUUCACUAUGUAUUUAUUUUAAAUAUUGGUCUUGGCCAGUCUUGUCAUGAUCAAAUUUAUUUGGCAGUAAUGAGGCUAACCAUAUGGUCAGAUGACCUAGUAAUGUCAAGGCAAUUUAAUAUACUCUAGCUGUAAUCUUUUGAAAAUAUUUAUUAGCUUUUUUUUUCACUAUGUAUUUAUUUUAAAUAUUGGUCUUGGCCAGUCUUGUCAUGAUCAAAUUUAUUUGGCAGUAAUGAGGUUAACCAUAUGGUUUGGUGACCUAGUAAUGUCAAGGUAUGGCAAGGCAAUUUAAUAUACUCUAGCGGUAAAUCUUUUAGAUUGAAGCAAAUGACACUAAAUGUCCAAUUUGCAUAUAUGCCAAUAGAGGCAAGUAUCAAUACUCAAUCAAAAAUCAACCAAACUCUUAGGCCUGAAUUAUUAGACCAACAGUGAGCUAAAACAUGUUUUCAUUAUGUAUAAGCCAGUAUAUAGUAUCAUGUCAGGGGACAUGGUAUACCUAAAACUAGUCAGGGUUGCACAAAGCAAAAUUUCACAGAAGAAAGCAAACUUUCGCUUUUUUUGUGGUUUGCACACAAAUCUCUGAAAGUAAGCAAAGUAGUGCUCUUCAUUUCUAACUACAUCUUCUGGAAAAGCAUAACAUUAUUCUGUUUUGUUUAGUUUAGAGAUAUAUGUACUACAGAAUUCAACAGUAGCUGCUAUGACUUUUAUGAGUUUUUUUUAUAAAUCUUUUGUUAAACGUUAGAUUUCCUGGGAUAAAAAGUAUCCUCUGUCUGUAUUGUAUAUGGCAAAAUUGCCAAAAUUUAUCAGGUGAUGAAUAGGUUAAAAACAAACAAAUGCUAGCUGUCGCAUUUCAAAUAUUUGUAUGGGUUUGGGAGUUUGGGAUUGACCUGCGCCUCUGCAUACGCUUUGCCUGUAAAAUGAGGUGAAAACGUCUGAUGUGCGAUGAGCUUUCAGUAACUCAGUAUUAAUUAUAAUUAUGAUCUUUAAAUGUUGAAGUAUUAUGUCAACAAAACGACAGUAUCUUAAGGUAUUAAUUAUAAUAAAUAAAUUAUUUUCAUCAAA